CACGUAGUUAGCCGGUGCUUCUUCUACCACUACCGUCACAAAAGCUUCGUCAUGGUUGAAAGGAGUUUACAACCCGAAGGCCGUCAUCCCCCACGCGGCGUCGCUGCAUCGGGCUUGCGCCCAUUGUGCAAUAUUCCCCACUGCUGCCUCCCGUAGGAGUCUGGGCCGUGUCUCAGUCCCAAUGUGGCCGUCCACCCUCUCAGGCCGGCUACCCGUCGCCGCCUUGGUAGGCCAUUACCCCACCAACAAGCUGAUAGGCCGCGAGCUCAUCCUGCACCGAAAAACUUUCCACCACCAGUACCAACCGGUAGUCCUAUCCGGUAUUAGACCCAGUUUCCCAGGCUUAUCCCGAAGUGCAGGGCAGAUCACCCACGUGUUACUCACCCGUUCGCCACUCGAGUACCGGGUGCAAGCACCCGGCCUUUCCGUUCGACUUGCAUGUGUUAAGCACGCCGCCAGCGUGUCUCGUGCACGAGUCAACUACU
Molecule: ribosomal RNA, 485 nt
Filed under: uncultured Corynebacteriaceae bacterium
Lineage: Bacteria; Bacillati; Actinomycetota; Actinomycetes; Mycobacteriales; Corynebacteriaceae
Description: partial 16S ribosomal RNA
Source: RNAcentral